Long non-coding RNA from Cyprinus carpio (common carp), 1238 nucleotides. RefSeq lists it as uncharacterized. Lineage: Eukaryota; Metazoa; Chordata; Actinopteri; Cypriniformes; Cyprinidae. The record is from RefSeq and is a predicted model, not a curated record.
UGAUAAUUCUUGUAUUAAUUCUCGAUGGCCGACUUCUGAUAACUAUUUUAUUCUGUAUUGCAGUAAUGAAUUAAAUAUGUAAUGCAGAAAUGCAGAUAUCAAUUUUAUCUUUUGUGUAGAGCCAUACAGUGCUCAUGUCAGCACUCUGAGCUACUGUAUUACAAAACUACACUGCAACUUGUUGCCAGACACAGAUAAUGAAAGUGGUACAUUGGAGAUCCUCAAAGAGCAUAUGCAUGUGCUGAGAAGUAAAAUCAAGUGCUUUCAAAGCCAGAUCCUCUCAUUAGCAAUGAUUUAUCUGUAUAUGUGUGUGUGUUAUAGUUCUCAUCAAUGACAGUGCAGAAAACCUGAGCACAUUCCUACAUCACAGUAUGGUCUAUAUUACGCUUUGGCGCUGAGAGCAAGCUAUGGCUUACUUUGAAGCUGUGAUCAAACUUGACAGGUGAUGUCCCAGCCUCCUCCACUCUCAGACAAUAAGACUUUCAUUUUCUUUUGUUGCACCAGUGCAGAAGGCCAUAGCUGAGGAUAAAUUUACUGAAGCAUGAAACUCUUUGAAAGUUACUUUUCAAAAAUCUAUUCUUGUUAAAAAGUGACACAGAGUCUCUGAGCAGCUUAUUUAAAAUCAUUGAAAUCUUAUCUGAGUCAUCAUCUCUUCUAUCUGUGUGCACCUCUCUAAAGGCACAGCAGAUUUGCGGCUGUUGCCCACGUCAGUUUGGGACUGAUCUGUAUGCUGAAUAUGGACCGACAUUAUGAGGCCAUCAAAAAGUUCAGGAAUGCAUUGAAGGAGGAUCCCAUCUAUUUAAAAGCCUACGUAUGCCGGGCCAGAGCCUACUACAACAGGGAAGUACUUGGAAAUGAAACAGUUUGACCUGGCUACCCUCUUUACACGAUACGCAGCAGAAAUGAAAACAGCUCUGGGUUUAUCACCGGUCCAGCAAGCUGUCGUCCAAUCAUUCCUGGGGAACGAUGCCAAUGCCAUCGUCUGUCUCCAGGAAGCGGUCGAUAUGUGUCCUUCUCCUCCACACCUCUUUCUUCUCGGGAGGACACUGAUGAGGUAGAACAGGUUCACAGUGAGUCCGAGACUCAUGCAGGGUUUAUCUUAGUCAAGCUCUGUCUGGCAGAACUAAGCCAGCAAAACACCAAACAGACUUCUCCAAAGACACCAACAAAAAUAGGUAAUUAUUAGUAUUUAUUAUUACUUUUUUUCAACCGUUUUAGAAAUACACCAAAGUGAUAAA